UAAAACUGAUAGAACUUUUGUACGAUGUCGUUAAGUCUGUAAAUUAACAUUUCAAGACAAUCUAGAGUAUGUACUAAUAGCAAGGCAGAAAAUAAUUACAGACUAAGGAAGUGACAAAAUCUCAAAAAGAUCUCUAAGGCCUGCACUAUGAGUGCGGGAGUAUCAAUCUCCCCACAAUCAUUGCUCCCAUGGGCUUGUGCAUGUAAUUCAGAAACAACUUGCUUG
RNAcentral lists this long non-coding RNA (225 nucleotides) under Hordeum vulgare. Its description in RNAcentral is "long non-coding RNA (HVUL_LNC014934)". Lineage: Eukaryota; Viridiplantae; Streptophyta; Magnoliopsida; Poales; Poaceae. The record is from RNAcentral.